Harmonia axyridis is the source of this 2629-nucleotide long non-coding RNA. RefSeq lists it as uncharacterized. The record is from RefSeq and is a predicted model, not a curated record. The transcript is spliced from 2 exons. Lineage: Eukaryota; Metazoa; Arthropoda; Insecta; Coleoptera; Coccinellidae.
CCACUUCUAUAAACCAACCUGCUGACAACUAAUAUGAUCCGUCUAGUGCGCAUGCGCAGCUAGAAAUGAAAUAUGGCCGCUGAAGGUGGAGAUGCCAGUUCUGUCAGACACGAAUAGAUAACGGCGUCACACCUUAAGCAGCAAACCUAACCUCCAUUUUGUUUUAGAUUUGUGUUUCCAAGUUUGUUAAAUCAACGAUUAAACUGUACAAAAUACCUGUAUUUGUCAAUCCACCCUUACAUGGUAUCAGAACCCUAACAUGGUAGCAGAGCUUGUGACGAGCACCCUCACAUGAAUAGCAGAGCUUGUGACGUUAAAAGCAAUCCACAAUCAAGAAGUUAGUGUUAAAAUGAGUUAUCAAGAAGAAAUGGAUCAAUCCCACGUGUCAACAAUGGAAGUUCCAGAAAACAUUUUCGAGAUGCUGACCAACCAGAGUUUUACUCUUACAGUUACACGAGGCAACCAGAACCUAUGAUUUUGUGAUGAAUGCAUUUUUAGAGGUAGCAAACUGCCAGUAUUUCAGAGAGGUUGACAACAGUAUGUAUACAGGUAGUAGUUUGAAUGAUAUUUGUUCUGAAUGUUUUGAUGACACAGAUAGGAAUCUCGAGACCGAGAUCAAUGAAGUUUAUACUGCAUGUUCCUUAUGUUUUGAUUAUCCCAUUGGAGAAUCUAAUAUGUUCACGAAUAAUCUUAAUUCUGUUUCAGUUCUCUGCAUUAAAUGUAGAAAGAGUGAUAAUAAUAUAUGUGAUUUCUGUUUAGAGAGUCGACAUGAUAGGUUAUAUAGGAAGCCCCAUACGAAGAAAGAAAAAAAUUCUUUCAAAAGUUCUUCUGUCAAGUCUUCUGUUCUGACAUCUGAAUUGGGUUGAGCCCCCUUCUGGGACGAGCUCCCUUCCGUUCAGACAGCUGAACUUGGUUGAGCCCCCUUCUGGGUUGAACUUGCUUCCGUUCAGCCAGCUGAACUGGGUUGAGUUCUCUUCUGGGUUGGGUUCCCUUCCGUUCAGCCUUUCUAGAACUUGCUUAGAGAUAGAGUGAGAAUUACGAGUGUUUUGAGAAUAAACAACUAAAAUCAUCAUUUGGGUAUUUACAGUUAAAGACAAUGGUAUAUAUAAGGCUCGUUUAGUUGUUGUAGGAUGCAAAGAUACUGAAAAGUAUACUUCUGAGGAAACUGCAUCUCCUACACCAACUCUAUCAGUUGUUUAAUUAUUAUUUGCAUUAUCAGUUUCUAGAAAAUGGCAUAUUGAACAGUUGGACAUCAAAACAGCAUUUCUUUAUGGUGAAAUUGAUAGACCAAAAUAUGUAAGUGUACCAGAAGGAAUGAAUCUGGAUAAAACUAAGGUAAUUCUUAAGUUACGAAAAGCUCUUUAUGGAAUAUCGAUAGCACCAAAAUGUUGGUUUAUGACACUCGAUAAUUUUAUAAAGAAUUCAGGUUUUGAAACAAAUUUACGUGAACCAUGUUUGUAUAAGAAAGAGGAAGAUAGUGAGAUUAUUUUGAUUCUAGUAUAUGUUGAUGAUCUAUUAAUUACAGGUACCAGUGAAAAGCUUAUUCAAGAAAAUGUCAAUAUGUUCAAAUCACGUUUUAAUAUCAAACAAUUUGGCUAUCCUACUAAGUUUCUUGGUUUGGAAAUCAGUAGAUCAGAAAAUCAGUUGUUUCUUCAUCAAACUCAAAUUCUGUUGAUACUCCAUUGGUUCCUCAAGGAGAUCAUAAAGUUCCCGAAGUUACUAAUGAAGCAGAUUUUCUGUACAAGAAAGCCAUAUGCUCUCUGUUGUAUUUAAGUUUAUUUACAAGACCCGAUAUAUCUUUUUUUGUAGGUUAUUUAUCUCGAUUCCAAGCCAAUCCACAACAGUAUCAUUGGACAUUAGUAAAAAGGGUUUUCAGAUACUUGAAAGGUACCAGUCAGUUGGGUCUAAAAUAUACAGCAGGUUCCCCAACGUUGUCAUGCUAUUGUGAUGCAGAUUUUGCAGCACAGUUAUUGGCAGAAACUGUGGUUAUCAGUUCAUUUCCUGUUGAUAUAUAUGAAGACAAUGACAAGACAAAACUAUCUUGCAGGUACAAGUAAAAGUCGUUCAAAAUAUAUUGCACGUAAAUAUUUAUUAAUUCGUCAACAUGUAAGUGACAAGAAAAUUAAUAUUGUGAAGAUUAAUACCAAUGAUCAGAUUGCUGACAUUCUUACAAAACCUUUAAGUGCAGCAAAGCUAAGUAAAUUUCGUAAUCACCUUGUAUUCUAUGAGGCUUGAUUUUUCAGUUGAUUUGUAUACAAAUAACCCAAUAUGUUCUCUUUUUUUUUCAGUUAUCUGUUGUUUAUCCAUGUAUUGUUUAACAUACUCGGAUAAUACUAAAAAUCUGUUGAAUAUGUGUCUGUGUGGAAAGGUUCUUCGGUUCCUGGAAACAUGCUUAGACAAUACUAAAAAUCUGUUGAAUAUGUGUCUGUGUGGAAAGGUUCUUCGGUUCCUGGAAACAUGCUUAGACAAUACUAAAAAUCUGUUGAAUAUGUGUCUGUGUGGAAAGGUUCUUCGGUUCCUGGAAACAUGCUUAGACAAUACUAAAAAUCUGUUGUGUAUAUGUCGGAGUUUUAUUGAAAGGUUCUUCGGUUCCUGGAAAUAUACUCUAAUAAAUAUGUUUAUAUGUUAA